AACCAGACUCCUACGGGAGGCAGCAGUGGGGGAUAUUGCACAAUGGGGGAAACCCUGAUGCAGCGACACCGCGUGGGUGAGGAAGCGCUUCGGCGUGUAAAGCCCUAUCAGUGGGGAAGAAAAAGGACGGUACCCAAAGAAGAAGCACCGGCUAACUACGUGCCAGCAGCCGCGGUAAUACGUAGGGGGCAAGCGUUAUCCGGAUUUACUGGGUGUAAAGGGAGCGUAGACGGCGAUGCAAGCCAGAUGUGAAAGCCCGGGGCUCAACCCCGGGACUGCAUUUGGAACUGUGUGGCUGGAGUGUCGGAGAGGCAGGCGGAAUUCCUAGUGUAGCGGUGAAAUGCGUAGAUAUUAGGAGGAACACCAGUGGCGAAGGCGGCCUGCUGGACGAUGACUGACGUUGAGGCUCGAAAGCGUGGGGAGCAAACAGGAUUAGAUACCCUCGUAA
RNAcentral lists this ribosomal RNA (448 nucleotides) under uncultured bacterium. Its description in RNAcentral is "bacterial SSU rRNA". It matches the Rfam family "Bacterial small subunit ribosomal RNA", at positions 329 to 793 of the family's 1533-position model. The record is from RNAcentral.